Long non-coding RNA from Magnolia sinica, 1038 nucleotides. RefSeq lists it as uncharacterized. NCBI's taxonomy places the organism in Eukaryota, Viridiplantae, Streptophyta, Magnoliopsida, Magnoliales, Magnoliaceae. The record is from RefSeq and is a predicted model, not a curated record. The transcript is spliced from 5 exons.
ACCUAUUUAUUUUUCAGAUUGUGAAGGAGACUUGGGUACGAGCUGGAUGGUGUGUUGGGGAUUUCACUCUCUACACUGGCUCCCUUGGGACAGCAUUCUUACUUUUCAAAGCAUAUGAAGUCACCAAGAACAAGAAUGAUCUCAAUCUCUGCAUUGAAAUUGUGAGGGCUUGUGAUACUGCUUCACGAGAAUCAAGGCAUGUGACAUUCAUCUGUGGUCGGGCUGGUGUGUGCGCCCUUGGUGUCGUGGCUGCAAAGAACGCUGGGGAUCAUGCACUGCUCAACCACUACCUAUCCCAGUUCAAAGCGGUAAUGCUUUGAAAAGUUGUUGGCUAGAAAGUUAGUAAUGGUUGUCUUCUCGAGCCGAAAAAGAUAUUUAUGCAAUGUACUACCUCAUUUGGCGAUCACUUCUCUUGGGGGUUUCUGGACUGUGUAUGAAUUGCCACUUCAUAGGGUAUGGUCGUGAAGGAAAUCAUCAAGGAUGGAAUACGAUUAGCCAACAAGGGUAGUUGCCCAUUGAUUUUAUCCUAUAUGGAGGCUUUCUGAAACAUAUGUUGAGUUGCUGGAAAUCCAAAACUCAAUGAUGGUGGAAGAGCAUGAUGUCUCAUGUGAAGCUCCAAUCCAAAAUGAGUAAGUUGCAGGACAGUCCACAGAGUGAGUGAGGUUAUGAGAAGCUAUCACCAGACUAUCAUACUAUCAUAUCCAUCUGAUUUAUGGGCUGCAUAUAGGUGGUUAUACCAAUGACCCUAUAAAAAUAGAGAUCUGAAAAUACCCAAGAAUUCUUUUAUUAGAGACGGUACUGUUAUUACUCCUUGGUUGUUGUGACUUGUGAUUAAUGACCUUUUUAUAUAUAAUACAUUGUCAAUGAUGAUGAGGAACUAGCGAGGGCCUCACAAGCAUUGUUGUGUGAAAGUAACACAGUUUUGAAAUAGUGAUCGCUCAGUGGUCAUCAAGGACUGAAUGAAGCUCCACAGAUGAUAGAUAUGGACAACCUACAAUAAUUGGAUCAUUUGGUAAAACUGGAGUACCCAACUCCGAU